UUGUUUUCUGUCUUCGUAUUAGUUACCAGACUGAACUGUUUUGGGUGUUCUUUUUGUUUACGUUGUAUUUUAGUGUUCAGGGCAUUUUAAAUAGAUGACGAACACUUACCAGGUUGCAUAUUGGUCCGAUCCUUCCUACUCCUCCUCAGACGAAGAGGACUGCCGUUACACUUCAAUUUAAGGGCAGGGAACACAGACGUUUCCUGCGGUUAUGCCUGCUGCUGUUGUCCCUAUGGUGCCAGGGCAAACAUCAGGUGUAGAGGAUGGACCAUCCCUGGAAUGCUGACAAGGAGGAAAGGUCACACUGGAACCACUGGAGAGAAAAGCCCUUUUAAUUAAAAAAUGC
Molecule: long non-coding RNA, 346 nt
Organism: Oncorhynchus keta (chum salmon)
Lineage: Eukaryota; Metazoa; Chordata; Actinopteri; Salmoniformes; Salmonidae
Exons: 3
Source: RefSeq, a predicted model, not a curated record